Molecule: ribosomal RNA, 959 nt
Filed under: uncultured bacterium
Lineage: Bacteria
Description: bacterial SSU rRNA
Rfam family: Bacterial small subunit ribosomal RNA
Source: RNAcentral
AACACGUUGAUAUUUGCCCCCCAGUCAGGGAUAAUCCAGAGAAAUUUGGACUAAUACCGGAUAGUCUCUUUGGAGUAAAGAUUUAUUGCUGGGGGAGAAGUCUGCGGUCUAUCAGCUAGUUGGUAAGGUAAAAGCUUACCAAGGCAAUGACGGAUAUCUGGUCUGAGAGGAUGAUCAGGCACAAUGGAACUGAGACACGGUCCAUACUCCUACGGGAGGCAGCAGUGAGGAAUCUUCCACAAUGGACGAAAGUCUGAUGGAGCGACACCGCGUGAAGGAUGAAUGUCUAACGAUUGUAAACUUCUUUUCUGAGGGAGCAUAAUGAGAGUACCUCAGGAAUAAGGGGCGGCUAAAUACGUGCCAGCAGCCGCGGUAAUACGUAUGUCCCGAGCAUUACCCGGAAUCACUGGGUGUAAAGGGUUCGUAGGUGGAAAGGUAAGUUAGAUAUUAAAGACCGAAGCUCAACUUCGAGUUUGUAUUUAAAACUGUUUUUCUAGAAUUAGGGAGAGGUAAGCGGAAUUUUAAGUGUAGGGGUGCAAUCCGUAGAUACUUAAAAGAACACCAAAAGCGAAGGCAGCUUACUGGAACUGAAUUGACGCUGAGGAACGAAAGCGUGGGUAGCGAAAAGGAUUAGAUACCCUUGUAGUCCACGCCCUAAACGAUGAUAACUAAGUGUUGGGACUAGAUCUCAGUGCUGAAGCUAACGCAUUAAGUUAUCCACCUGAGGAGUACGGUCGCAAGAUUAAAACUCAAAGGAAUAGACGGGGACCCACACAAGCAGUGGNUCACGUGGUUUAAUUCGAUAAUAAACGGGGAACCUUACCAGACUUGACAUCCUNAGAAUUUUUANAANUAAAAAGUGUCUUUAUUGAAACUUANUGACAGNGCUGCAUNNNGUCGUCAGCUCGUGCCUUGAGGNGUUCGGNUAAGUCCGUNCGAGCGUAACCCAUGUUUUAGUU